UUAUAUUUUAUAGAGAUUAAAUAGAAUUCCUUAAUAUAAGUAACUGGACUGUAUUAAAACAAUGUUGUUUUGAGCAAAGUAUGUUUUGUCAUUAUGGUAUUUGGAUACAUAAAGAUACAUAAAGAUACUAUAUGGAUGAAAGGAGCAUUUGCUUUAUAAGUUGGAAAAUUAUAUGCAGUUGAAUUAUUAGCUAAUUCUAGAGAAGGAAUAUUAUAUAUAAUUAGUUCUUGAAAUUUCGAACUCAGACUUAUGGAAGACAUGCAAAGGUCUUGAUGGCCAAUACUAAGCCAAAAGAAUAUCGAGUUGAUAAGUGGAUAGUAUUAAUGAAAAGAUGGUCGAUUUUGCUCUCAUGUAUUCAAGAAGCAGCAAUUGAAUGUUGUCUUAGAUGCUAGAUAAUGAGGAAUUAAAAAUUAUUAGAACAUUUUUAUUGGGAUUUCAAUAAAGUAAUAUGUAAGAGAGACUUUUAAAGUAAAAUAAACAAUUUUUACUGUCUUUUUUUUUCUGUAACAGUUCUAUUAAUGGGUUACUGUCACAAACUGUGGAGGAGCUUUUAUACUUUUGCUGGAGGUGUGCUUUUUGAUAAAUAAAAUUAUGUCAGUAAUUCGUGAUGAAUGUCAAUUUUCCCGAGAAAAUAGUUUGAAAAAAAUUUUCUCAGUUUUUCAUAUAUAGAACUUGAGCUCAUAUAUGUAGUUUGGGGCCGCUUAUGUAAUUUUAGGGGCUGAUGGUAAUAGAGGAAAUGU
Long non-coding RNA from Pipistrellus kuhlii (Kuhl's pipistrelle), 740 nucleotides. RefSeq lists it as uncharacterized. The record is from RefSeq and is a predicted model, not a curated record. The transcript has 2 exons. NCBI's taxonomy places the organism in Eukaryota, Metazoa, Chordata, Mammalia, Chiroptera, Vespertilionidae.